Molecule: ribosomal RNA, 320 nt
Filed under: Bacillus sp. DV37
Lineage: Bacteria; Bacillati; Bacillota; Bacilli; Caryophanales; Bacillaceae
Description: bacterial SSU rRNA
Rfam family: Bacterial small subunit ribosomal RNA
Source: RNAcentral
GUGCCUAAUACAUGCAAGUCGAGCGGACAGAUGGGAGCUUGCUCCCUGAUGUUAGCGGCGGACGGGUGAGUAACACGUGGGUAACCUGCCUGUAAGACUGGGAUAACUCCGGGAAACCGGGGCUAAUACCGGAUGGUUGUUUGAACCGCAUGGUUCAGACAUAAAAGGUGGCUUCGGCUACCACUUACAGAUGGACCCGCGGCGCAUUAGCUAGUUGGUGAGGUAACGGCUCACCAAGGCGACGAUGCGUAGCCGACCUGAGAGGGUGAUCGGCCACACUGGGACUGAGACACGGCCCAGACUCCUACGGGAGGCAGCAU